This 396-nucleotide ribosomal RNA is filed under the name Salmonella enterica. RNAcentral's name for it is "bacterial SSU rRNA". It matches the Rfam family "Bacterial small subunit ribosomal RNA", at positions 372 to 758 of the family's 1533-position model. Lineage: Bacteria; Pseudomonadati; Pseudomonadota; Gammaproteobacteria; Enterobacterales; Enterobacteriaceae. The record is from RNAcentral.
UGGGCGAAAGCCUGACCCAGCGACGCCGCGUGGGGGAAGAAGGCCUUCGGGUCGUAAACCCCUGUUCUGGAGGAAGAACCCAGGAUAGGUGAAUAACCUAUCCUGGCUGACGGUACUCCAGGAGAAAGCCACGGCUAACUGCGUGCCAGCAGCCGCGGUAAUACGCAGGUGGCGAGCGUUGCCCGGAAUUACUGGGCGUAAAGGGUGCGUAGGCGGCCGGACAAGUCAUAGGUUAAAGCCCGGAGCUCAACUCCGGAAAGGCCUAUGAUACUGUCUGGCUUGAGGGCCGGAGAGGCUGGCGGAAUUCCCGGUGUAGGGGUGAAAUCCGUAGAUAUCGGGAGGAACACCGGUGGGGAAGCCGGCCAGCUGGACGGUUCCUGACGCUGAGGCACGAAA